UUAAGCGACUAAGCGUACACGGUGGAUGCCCUGGCAGUCAGAGGCGAUGAAGGACGUGCUAAUCUGCGAAAAGCGUCGGUAAGGUGAUAUGAACCGUUAUAACCGGCGAUGUCCGAAUGGGGAAACCCAGUGCAAUUCGUUGCACUAUCGUUAACUGAAUACAUAGGUUAACGAGGCGAACCGGGGGAACUGAAACAUCUAAGUACCCCGAGGAAAAGAAAUCAACCGAGAUUCCCCCAGUAGCGGCGAGCGAACGGGGAGCAGCCCAGAGUCUGAAUCAGCUUGUGUGUUAGUGGAACGGUCUGGAAAGUCCGACGGUACAGGGUGAUAGUCCCGUACACCAAAAUGCACAGGUUGUGAACUCGAAGAGUAGGGCGGGACACGUGGUAUCCUGUCUGAAUAUGGGGGGACCAUCCUCCAAGGCUAAAUACUCCUGACUGACCGAUAGUGAACCAGUACCGUGAGGGAAAGGCGAAAAGAACCCCGGCGAGGGAGUGAAAAGAACCUGAAACCGUGUACGUACAAGCAGUGGGAGCACCUUCGGGUGUGACUGCGUACCUUUGUAUAAUGGGUCAGCGACUUAUAUUCUGUAGCAAGGUUAACCGUAUAGGGGAGCCGCAGGGAAACCGAGUCUUAACUGGGCGUUAAGUUGCAGGGUAUAGACCCGAAACCCGGUGAUUCAGCCAUGGGCAGGUUGAAGGUUGGGUAACACUAACUGGAGGACCGAACCGACUAAUGUUGAAAAAUUAGCGGAUGACUUGUGGCUGGGGGUGAAAGGCCAAUCAAACCGGGAGAUAGCUGGUUCUCCCCGAAAGCUAUUUAGGUAGCGCCUCGUGAACUCAUCUUCGGGGGUAGAGCACUGUUUCGGCUAGGGGGUCAUCCCGACUUACCAACCCGAUGCAAACUACGAAUACCGAAGAAUGUUAUCACGGGAGACACACGGCGGGUGCUAACGUCCGUCGUGAAGAGGGAAACAACCCAGACCGCCAGCUAAGGUCCCAAAGUCAUGGUUAAGUGGGAAACGAUGUGGGAAGGCACAGACAGCCAGGAUGUUGGCUUAGAAGCAGCCAUCAUUUAAAGAAAGCGUAAUAGCUCACUGGUCGAGUCGGCCUGCGCGGAAGAUGUAACGGGGCUAAACCAUGCACCGAAGCUGCGGCAGCGACACUAUGUGUUGUUGGGUAGGGGAGCGUUCUGUAAGCCUGCGAAGGUGUGCUGUGAGGCAUGCUGGAGGUAUCAGAAGUGCGAAUGCUGACAUAAGUAACGAUAAAGCGGGUGAAAAGCCCGCUCGCCGGAAGACCAAGGGUUCCUGUCCAACGUUAAUCGGGGCAGGGUGAGUCGACCCCUAAGGCGAGGCCGAAAGGCGUAGUCGAUGGGAAACAGGUUAAUAUUCCUGUACUUGGUGUUACUGCGAAGGGGGGACGGAGAAGGCUAUGUUAGCCGGGCGACGGUUGUCCCGGUUUAAGCAUGUAGGCUGAUUGUCCAGGCAAAUCCGGAUAAUCAAGGCUGAGGUGUGAUGACGAGGCACUACGGUGCUGAAGUAACAAAUGCCCUGCUUCCAGGAAAAGCCUCUAAGCAUCAGGUAACAUUAAAUCGUACCCCAAACCGACACAGGUGGUCAGGUAGAGAAUACCAAGGCGCUUGAGAGAACUCGGGUGAAGGAACUAGGCAAAAUGGUGCCGUAACUUCGGGAGAAGGCACGCUGGUGUGUAGGUGAAGUCCCUGCGGAUGGAGCUGAGACCAGUCGAAGAUACCAGCUGGCUGCAACUGUUUAUUAAAAACACAGCACUGUGCAAACACGAAAGUGGACGUAUACGGUGUGACGCCUGCCCGGUGCCGGAAGGUUAAUUGAUGGGGUUAUCCGUAAGGAGAAGCUCUUGAUCGAAGCCCCGGUAAACGGCGGCCGUAACUAUAACGGUCCUAAGGUAGCGAAAUUCCUUGUCGGGUAAGUUCCGACCUGCACGAAUGGCGUAAUGAUGGCCAGGCUGUCUCCACCCGAGACUCAGUGAAAUUGAACUCGCUGUGAAGAUGCAGUGUACCCGCGGCAAGACGGAAAGACCCCGUGAACCUUUACUAUAGCUUGACACUGAACAUUGAGCCUUGAUGUGUAGGAUAGGUGGGAGGCUUUGAAGCGUGGACGCCAGUCUGCGUGGAGCCAACCUUGAAAUACCACCCUUUAAUGUUUGAUGUUCUAACGUUGGCCCCUGACCGGGGUUGCGGACAGUGUCUGGUGGGUAGUUUGACUGGGGCGGUCUCCUCCCAAAGCGUAACGGAGGAGCACGAAGGUUAGCUAAUCCUGGUCGGACAUCAGGAGGUUAGUGCAAUGGCAUAAGCUAGCUUGACUGCGAGCGUGACGGCGCGAGCAGGUGCGAAAGCAGGUCAUAGUGAUCCGGUGGUUCUGAAUGGAAGGGCCAUCGCUCAACGGAUAAAAGGUACUCCGGGGAUAACAGGCUGAUACCGCCCAAGAGUUCAUAUCGACGGCGGUGUUUGGCACCUCGAUGUCGGCUCAUCACAUCCUGGGGCUGAAGUAGGUCCCAAGGGUAUGGCUGUUCGCCAUUUAAAGUGGUACGCGAGCUGGGUUUAGAACGUCGUGAGACAGUUCGGUCCCUAUCUGCCGUGGGCGCUGGAGAAUUGAGGGGGGCUGCUCCUAGUACGAGAGGACCGGAGUGGACGCAUCACUGGUGUUCGGGUUGUCAUGCCAAUGGCACUGCCCGGUAGCUAAAUGCGGAAGAGAUAAGUGCUGAAAGCAUCUAAGCACGAAACUUGCCCCGAGAUGAGUUCUCCCUGAGACUUUAAGUCUCCUGAAGGAACGUUGAAGACGACGACGUUGAUAGGCCGGGUGUGUAAGCGCAGCGAUGCGUUGAGCUAACCGGUACUAAUGAACCGUGAGGCUUAACCU
RNAcentral lists this ribosomal RNA (2896 nucleotides) under Klebsiella pneumoniae. RNAcentral's name for it is "bacterial LSU rRNA". It matches the Rfam family "Bacterial large subunit ribosomal RNA". Lineage: Bacteria; Pseudomonadati; Pseudomonadota; Gammaproteobacteria; Enterobacterales; Enterobacteriaceae. The record is from RNAcentral.